UUAGGGAUUAUCAGCUGUUGCAAACUAAAGCCCCUAUUAUCUACUGGGCCCAAGGGGCUGGAACUCUAAUCCCCUCAAAACCACCUAACAGCUGUGUGACUCAGUGGGUUACUUAACCUCUCGGUGCUUCAGUGUCCUGUAAAACAAGGAAAAUUAAUAGCAACUGCAUAAGGUUAUGAUUGAAUUAAAUGAAUUACUAUAUGUGAAGCCUAAGUAUAAUGCCAGGCACAUACUAAGUAAUGAAAUGUGUUACAAUAAAUAAAUACAUAGCCCUCUAUUUGCUAAAUGGGAUGCUGAUUCAUGAAUGACUUAAUAAGGCAAAUUUGAUAGGUAGUUAUAUACACACAUGGGUCCUUUUGCCCUAGAUGGGAGGGACUAGUAACAUGCAGCUUCUGAAUGUGAGAGUUUAUCGGCUUUUAGCAGUCUCCGAAGCAGGCCUCCUUUAGACUCAUCCCCUCUCACCACCCUAGGAUUCCUGAGUCAUGGGGGUUGCAACUCCACUUUAUAUAUUCUUUAGCCAAAGACUGGUUCCUGUUUCCUCCCGCCCCUAACCCACUGUCUAUAUGAUAGUGGUCACAGAGCAAGUGGCCUCCAACCAUCAAACACCUCAAACAUGCAUCCUGUUACUGAGAAUACCUGGGCACCCACCACCUCUUCCUCAGACUGGUACCCCCUCCACCCUCACUCUUCUUCUGUCACCCUUCUGCUUAGCAGCCCUGAAGUCCUAGAAGACACUCACCUGAGAGCAGAGCGAAGAUCUGGAAAGGCUGCUGGGGCUGGAUUCAACUCAGUUACUGCAUCCCCAGUUCUCCCAGAGCCUGCCUGGUGCCACAGGCACGGAUGCAGUCCUGGUUCUGCUGGUGAAGUGGUGAAUGAGUGGAGUGCUCGGUGCAGGUGAGGAGGUGGGUUGGGACAGGACCUGUUUUUUGUCAGCCAGGCAGAAGUCUUCACUGAAACCCAGGGAGGAUUAACGGGCCCUCCAAAUUCACAGCUGUUUAUCAGCCUCAGUAAGAGAGCCAGUUGGGAGAAAGCCCGCAGUAAGUUUUGUUUUCUCCCAGGCAAGUGCCGUAGGCAUUUUUAUGUAUAUGAAAAUGUACAUCAUGUAUACGAAAGAG
RNAcentral lists this long non-coding RNA (1115 nucleotides) under Canis lupus familiaris (dog). RNAcentral describes it as "lncRNA (ENSCAFG00845027310.1)". Lineage: Eukaryota; Metazoa; Chordata; Mammalia; Carnivora; Canidae. The record is from RNAcentral.